This 468-nucleotide ribosomal RNA is filed under the name uncultured Streptococcus sp. RNAcentral describes it as "bacterial SSU rRNA". It matches the Rfam family "Bacterial small subunit ribosomal RNA", at positions 913 to 1382 of the family's 1533-position model. The record is from RNAcentral. Lineage: Bacteria; Bacillati; Bacillota; Bacilli; Lactobacillales; Streptococcaceae.
ACGGGGACCCGCACAAGCAGCGGAGCAUGUGGUUUAAUUCGAAGCAACGCGAAGAACCUUACCAGGUCUUGACAUCCCGAUGCUAUUUCUAGAGAUAGAAAGUUACUUCGGUACAUCGGUGACAGGUGGUGCAUGGUUGUCGUCAGCUCGUGUCGUGAGAUGUUGGGUUAAGUCCCGCAACGAGCGCAACCCCUAUUGUUAGUUGCCAUCAUUCAGUUGGGCACUCUAGCGAGACUGCCGGUAAUAAACCGGAGGAAGGUGGGGAUGACGUCAAAUCAUCAUGCCCCUUAUGACCUGGGCUACACACGUGCUACAAUGGUUGGUACAACGAGUUGCGAGUCGGUGACGGCGAGCUAAUCUCUUAAAGCCAAUCUCAGUUCGGAUUGUAGGCUGCAACUCGCCUACAUGAAGUCGGAAUCGCUAGUAAUCGCGGAUCAGCACGCCGCGGUGAAUACGUUCCCGGGCCUU